ACGGGGACGGGGCGGGGCGCGGAUCGGCCGGGCACGGGGCGGGGCCGUGGCCGCCGGGACACGCCCCGGGGCGCUGCUGCUGCCCCAGGGGUCUCGCUUCCGUUUUUGGGCGGGAAUGGAGGCCUCGUGGCAGCUGUGCCAAAACGCCUGUGGGGCCUGGAGCUCCUCACCCUCCUGCUCUCUUCCCCCUCCUCCUCUCUCUUCCCCCGCCUAUCUCUCCUCUCUUCCCAGCCCUCCCCUCCUCCCAGCCCUCCCCUCUUCUCAGCUCUCCCCUCCACGCCCCUCACCCUUCCCUUUCCCUCCUCCUCGCUCUCCUCCUCUAUCUGGACCAUCGUCAUCGUCGGUCACAACUGUUACAGGAACUGAUUCUGUGGUGGGAAAGGAAUUAGAGAAGAGAAAGAGAGGCUCAGAGGCGGCAUCCAACAGCUGGGGUAGAAACCUGGAGGCAAAGGGUCUGUCUGCUUCCCGACAGCCACAGAUGCUCAAAGAAGGGGACCUUGUUCCCCCAUCCGGAGGAAAUCCUGAUUAUUCUGAGCCAUCUCGGUAAUACAGUUCCUCUCCCUACGAUUGGCUUAGGGGUGGACAUGUGAGCACAUUCUGGUCGAAAAGAUGAGAGGGGGCGAGCUGGGGGAAUUCUUGGAAAGGUUUCAUUGCUGAUAAAAAUGGACCAAGGAAGAGACGCUUCCUGAAUGUGUGCUGUUGGCUGAGGUGUGCACUGCAGAAAAGGCUGGAGCAGAGAGAUGCAGAGGACCCGGCUCUUCAUGUCCUGAGAACUGGCCACGUGCGGUGGCUCAUGCCUAUAAUCCCAGCACUUUGGGAGGCCGAGGCGGAAGUAUUGCUUGAGGCCAGUAGUUCAAGACCAACAUGACCAACAUAGUGAGACCCUGUCUCAAAAAAGAAGGAAAGGAAGAACCCCGAAGCUGUCCUAUCUCAGGACUUCCCCUUAUAUGGAAAUAAUAAAUAUCUUCAUUGUUAAACCUCUUGGGUGCUUUCCAGGACUUUCAGCCAAAAGCAACCUCAAUGGCGACAGAUCUAAACCCGGCUGGCAAGUCACCAGCCGCCACAGUGAACAGCUUUAUCGACGUUGUCCUUCAGGGAGUAUCCAUGGAGUGCCCUCGCUGGACGCGGACAGCUCGGGGCACUGCAGAUCACGAAAAGGUGCCGUGGCUCACACCUGUGAUCCCAGCACUUUGGGAGGCUGAGGCAGGCGGAUCACAAGGUCAGGAGAUCAAGACCAUCCUGGCUAAUACGAUGAAACUCCUUUUCUAUUAAAAAAAAAAAAGAGGUUUCUUUCCUGGAGGCGCACUCCAGGGGCUCAGACAAACACUAGAGCAAAUCCAGGAAUAAGCCAACAGAACAGCUUCAGAUAAUGUUCAAUGCUGGCAAGAAACAAAACCCAGCAGUUUGAGAGAGGGAGUGAGGGCGUGGCUUCUCAGGGAAGAUGACAUUUAGGGGAGAACGGGAUGAAGAGCCAACGUAGGAAGAUCCAGAGAGAGCAUUCCAGGUGGAGGGCGUGGCACGCACAAAGGCCCUGAGGUAGGAGGGAACUUUGUGCGCUGGAGGAACUGAACCGUGAAAUGUGAGAGCAUCACGAUUAUGGCAGCAGCUUUCAAGAAAGGGUCUAAAAGUAAACAAAAGGUCCACAGUCCAAAUUCCUCGCCUCCCUCCCUUUUUUUUGUCAUUGUUGUUUUUUUUUUUUGCCACCCAAGUAAUGUUUUUUAUUUUUAUUUUUAUUUUUUUAAAGAAAAAGAGGGAAAAAGAAAUAUUACUUCAUUCCUAAAAUGGGUAUCAAUAAUGGCCGAUCAAUAUUUUGUGUGUUUAAAGUGGAUAAUGUAUAUUUUGUGUGUUUAAAAUGGAGAGCUCUAUUGAGUUUAUUUGUUCUGGAUCUGAGUUCAAGUCCUGGAUAUCGUUAUCAAUUUUCUGUCUCGUUGAAUCUAAAUCUCAUUACGGGUCUUAUGUAUCUGGGUGUUCAGAUCUCUUAUUAUUACAUUAAUCCUUUUACCCUUGUAUCCUUGUAGCUUUGAAAUCUAUUUUAUUAAUUGUGAGAAUUGCAACUCCUGCUUUUUAUUUAUUUAUUUUUGCUCUCCAUUUAAUUGGUUUUUUUUCCAACCCUUUGAGUCUUUGUAUAUCUUUAGAUAUACCGUUAGAUUUUGUCUGUAUCUUUUGAUUGGGGGAUUUAGUCGAUUUAAAUUUAGGAUUACUGCCAUUUGAUAUUAACUGGCUCUUUUAUCCUUUCGUUGAUGUAAAUUCUUCUUUAUGUUAAUGCUCUUUAGUUUUUGGUGUAUUUUUAGAAAGGCUCAUACUGGUUGUUCCUUUCUAUCUAUAAUGCUUCUUUUAGAAGUUCUUGUAAAGCAGGCCUGGUGGUAAUAAAAUCUCUGAGUACUUGCUUGUUCCUAAAAGAUUUUAUUUUUCCUUCAAUUGUAAAGCUUAAAUUGGCAGGAUAUGAAAUUCUGGGCUGAAAGUUCUGUUCUUUAAGUAUAUUGAAUAUUGGCCCCCACUCUCUUCUAGCUUGUAGGGUUUCCGUUGAGAGAUCUGCUGUAAGCCUAAUAGGCUUCCCUUUAUGGGUAACCUGAUCUUUCCCUCUGGCUGCCCUUAAUAUUUUCUCCUUCGUUUUGAUCCUGGUGAAUCUAACGAUCAUGUGCUUGAGGUUGGUCUUCUUGAGGAAUAUCUUUGUGGUGUUCUCUGUAUUGCCUGGGGUUGAAUAGUGUCCUGCUUUGCUAAAUUAGGAAAAUUUUCCUGGAUAAUAUCCUGAAGAAUAUUUUCCAGCUUGAAUUCAUUCUCUCCGUCACAUUCAGGUACACCAAUCAAACGUAUAUUAGGUCUUUUCACAUAGUCCCAUAUUUCUUGGAGACUUUGCUCAUUCCUUUUUAUCCUUUUUUCUCUAUUCUUGUCUUGUUGUUUUAUUUCAUUAAAUUGGUCUUCGACCUCUGAUAUCCUUUCUUCUGCUUGAUCCAUUCGGCUAUUCAAGCUUGUACAUAUUUCACUAAGUUCUCGUGUUGUAUUUUUCAACUCCAUAAGUUCAUUUGUAUUCCUCUCUAUAUUGUCUAUUCUUUUCAUCAUUUCAUCGAACCUUUUUUCAAAGUUCUUAGUUUCUUUACAUUGGGUUAGAACAAGUUCCUUUAACUCCCAGAAGUUUCUCAUCGUCCACCUUUUAAAGCCUACUUCAGAUAAUGGAACACAGUCCUUUUCCAUCAGGGCUUGUUCCGUUACUGAUGAGUCCUCUUCCAUCAGGGCUUGUUCGGUUGCUGAUGAGUCCUUUUCCAUCAGGGCUUGUUCCGCUGCUGAUGAGUCCUUUUCCAUCAGGGCUUGUUCCGUUGCUGAUGAAUCCUUUUCCAUCAGGGCUUGUUCUGUUGCUGAUGGGUUCUGAUUUUGAGUAUACUCGGCCUUCUUAGGCUGUUUUUUCCCUUCAUUGUAGAUGAACCGCCUUUCUAAUUAGGUUUCUGAGUCGACGUCCGAUUUAUUGAUUCCCAGUGCUGGGAUCCGAGCAACCCACUGUGGCGGCCUAAAUAGCAGCGAUAAGACUGAUGGUGCUCUUCUGCCCGGGAAUCUCUGGUCCGGCUUCCCUCUUGAGUCCGCUACAAGCGGCUCUGACUUCCCGGAGCUCCAAACUCCGGUCAGUAGGGGAAGCAGUCCCAUUUGCUCUGCAUGAAGAGCUGCUGCGCCGAGACGCCGGCAAAACCGCUGCGGCGGCCACAAGAGUCGCGCUGGCGACCCGUGGGGCUCCUCUACUGGGAAUCGGCUGAUCCGUGAGUGACGAAAAUUCAUCUAAAAGUGUGGCGUCGUCUUGUUCUCUGAACUUUCACUGGGAGCUACAAUCCUGAGCUGUUAGUGAUCAGCCAUCUUGGAUCGGUCCGUUCUGUUUUUUUUUUUUUUUGAGACAGAGUCUCGCCCCGUGGCCCAACGUGGAGUGCAGUGGCAAGAUCUUGGUUCACUGCAACCUCUGCCUCCUGGGUUCAAGCAGUUUCCUGCCUCAGCCUCCCAGGUAGCUGGGACUACAGGCGCCUGUCUCCACGCCUGGCUAAUUUUUGUAUUUUUAGUAGAGACAGGGUUUCACCAUCUUGGCCAGGCUGGUCUUGAACUUCUGACCUUAUGAUCCUCCUGCCUCGGCCUCCCAAAGUGCUGGGAUUCCAGGCGUGAGCCACCACACCCGGCCUCUGCCACUUUCUUCAGGUUUUUGUUCCCGGGCCCAGUGUCUAAGAGCUGCUUUGUUGGUAUCGAAGAUGAGUUUUCGAACUUCCCUUCCUAACUCAGGAGAACCGCCUCACCUCUCAGCACACGUGCGCCGGAAGCACACAGGCUUUUUAAGUGAAAGCCAAGUUUUCCAGCUUCAGCCUGACCCAGCGGCUCCGUGUGCGGCGAGUCCUCAUCUGUCUUCCAGUUUUCCUCGGGAGCAGCAUUUUCCUUCCUGCCCAGAAAACCCCAGCUCUUGCCACAGGCCCCUCCUCUCCAACACCCGCCCGCUCUGCCCAGGGCCCACUGAGGCCCAGGGAUGCCCUCCUGAGCAUCCGAGAGGCCAGCUGCCAUGCAGCCAGGCAGGAGGCGCCUUCCAGAAACCAGUGUGGGCACCAAGAACGCUGGAGAUCAGGAGAUGCCCUUGCCCUUCAACGCAGACCUGCAAAGCUGCCAGUUUCUCUCCUGAGGGGAACUGUUCACAGGCUGCAGCCAUGACUGGCACCCAUGGAGAAGCAGGUUCCAAAAAUAUUCUUUGGGCCAGGCACAGUAGCUCAUGCCUGUAACCCCAACGCUUCGGAAGGCCGAGGCGGGAGGAUUGCUUGAGCUCAGGAGUUCAAGACCAGCUUGGGCAACCUGGCGAAAUCCUGUCUCUACAGACAAAAAUUAGCUGGGUAUGGCACCUAUCGUGCCCGUAGUCCCAGCUGCUCCGGAGGCUGAGGUGGGAGGAUUGCUUGAGCCCAGGAAGUUAAGGCUGCAAUGUGUCAUGAUCACACCACUGUAGGCCAGCCUGUGUAGCAGAGCGAAACUCUAUCUCAAACAAGAAAAAAAAGGGCCGGGUAUGGUAGUUCAUGCCUGUAAUCCCAGCAUAUUGGGAGGCCAAGGCAGCUGGAUCACCUUAGGUCAGGAGUUGGAGACUAGCCUGGCCGACAUGGUGAAACCCCGUCUCUAAUUAAAAUAGAAAAAUUAGCCAGGCAUGAUGCUGGUCACCUGUAAUCCCAGCUACUUCGGAGGCUGAGGCAAGAGAAUUCCUUGAACCCAGUGAGCCAAGAUUGCGCCACUGCAUUCCAGCCCGAGAGACAGAGUGAGACUCAGCCUCAGAAAAAAAAAGAGAGAGAGAGAAGAAAAAAACAAAAACAUUCUUUGGAAAACAAUGGGCAGCGAUACCUUUCUGGGCACAUCUGGUGGUGGCUGAGGUUCCUGUUUGGGCAGGGAUGGGGCAGUGCCAAAGAGGACCACUGGAUACACACCCAUGGGGUCAUUUGUCAGACUUCUUUUCAGAGACAAGGUCUUACUGUGUCACCCAGGCUAGAGCACAGCAGUGUGAUCAUAGCUCACUGCAGCCUCAAAUUCCUGGACUCAAGUGACCCUCCCUCAGCCUCCCUAGGAGCUGAGACAGCAGGCACACACGGCCACAGCCGGCUCUGUCAGACCGUGCUGACUGUUUCCUAUGAGCACGGGGGCACAUGCAUCACCUUCUCAUAAAGAUCAUACACCAGUGGGACAAAGAUAUUCCUCUCACACCAAUGAGUCUGCAGUGACACCUGAGAAAAACGCUCUCAGGGAGAUGAAUCCAUCUCGGCAAGGGCGCAUUACAGGGGCCACAGAGUGGACCUUUUUCAAAGCAAGAGGGAUUGUGUUACUCCCUGCUUCAACCCUCCCUGGGUUUCCUGUUGCAAGGCACAAACUCCAGGUCCUCCCCUGGGCUGCCCUCCUCCACCUCCCUCUCGGCUCCCUGGGAUGCAGCCACCCUGGCUUCCUUCAGACCUUCCCAUGCAGUCAGCCCGUGCCCACCGCAGGACCUCGGCACAGGCUCUGCUCCUUGCUUCAAAUGCUCUUCUUGCUUAAAAAGGUCCCAUAGGUCCAGGCGCAGUGGCUCACACCUAUAAUCCCAGCAUUUUGGGAGGCCAAGGCGGGCAGAUCAUGAGGUCAAGAGAUCAAGACCAUCCUGGCCAACAUGGUGAAACCCCGUCUCUACAAAAAAUACAAAAUUUAGCUGGGCAUGGUGGGGCGUGCCUGUAAUCCCAGCUACUUGGAAGCUAAGACAGGAGAAUUGCUUGAACCCAAGAGGUGGAGGUUGCAGUGAGCUGAGAUCGCACCACUGCACUCCAGCCUGGUGACAGAGUGAGACUCCGUCUAAAAAAAAUUGGGGGGCCUCCAUGGAAGCUUUUUUGAGGUACAGCUCCAGCGUCAUCUCCUCAAAGAGGCCUUCCUCAACCAGCCUAUCUGAAGUGACACUCUUCCCUGGAGCAGUGGCUCACACCUGUGAUCCCAGCAUUUUGCAAGGCCGAGGCAGAUGGAUCACAUGAGAUCAAGACCAUCCUGGCCAACAUGGUAAAACCCAUCUCUACUAAAAACACAAAAAUUAGCCAGGUGUGGUGUGCACCUGUAAUCCCAGCUACUGGGGAGGCUGAGGCAGGAGAUCACUUGAACCCAGGAGGCAGAGGUUGCAAUGAGCCGAUAUGGCACCACUGCACUCCAGCCUGGGUGACAAAGCGGGACUCUGUCUCAAAAAAAAAAAAUUAACUGGGCAUGGUAGGUGUGUCUGUAGUCCCAGCUGCUCUAGAGGCUGAGGUGGGAGGAUUGCUUGAGUCUGGGAGUUCAAGGCUGCAGUGAGCCAUGAUUGUGCCACUGCACUCCAGCCUGGCCAAUAGAGUGAGACCCUGUCUCCAGUUAAUUAAGGAAUUAAUUAAAUAAUGCUCUUUUUGUCGUCGUCCUGUUUUAUUUUCGUCACACCCUGACAUUGUCUGUCCUGACUGUUCACCACUUGUUUUCUCCAUGUUUCUGUAGAGAAACACCACAAGGGCAAAACCCUUACCUGGCCUCACAGCUGAACCUCCAGCACCGCACAGGGCCCAGCGCACACAGGAGCAUGAUGGUUUGUGGAAUGAAUGAAUGAAUGAAUGAGGGGCCUAAUCCCACUGAAGGAAGUCAGGAAAGGCUUACUGAAGGAGUGAUAUCUGAAGUGGCAUUGAUGGGUGAGAAGGAGUUGGGCUGUGUACCCCCACUUCAGCCAGUGACUAGAAUGCCCUGGGGGCCUGCCCUUGGCGGUCUCCCAGGGUCUUCGUCGGGCACAGGGGUUGGUGUAUGUUGAAACUCCCUGUGUGACCCUCGUGAGCACACCAGGCUGAGAGCCGGUCACCGUGGCCUUGGUUCUCCUCCAGGUGUUCUCCAGAGCACCAGCCACCUGGAAAUGUGAUAGAAAUGCAGGUUCUCUGGCCGGGAGUGAUGGCUUGCACCUGUAAUCCCAGCACUUUGGGAGGCCAAGUCUGGAGAAUAACUCAAGCCCAGGAGUUUGAGACCAACCUGGACAACAAUAGUGAGAUCCCAUCUCUACAAAAACCUUUUUUUAAUUAGCCAGGCAUGGUGGCAAGUGCCUACAGCCACUGAAGUGGGAGGAUACCUUGAUCCUGAGAGGUCAAGGCUGCAGUGAGCCAUGUGCACACCACUGCCUUCCAGCUUGAGCAACAGAGCAAGAGCCUGUCUCAAAAAAAAAAA
Callithrix jacchus (white-tufted-ear marmoset) is the source of this 7668-nucleotide long non-coding RNA. RefSeq lists it as uncharacterized. Lineage: Eukaryota; Metazoa; Chordata; Mammalia; Primates; Cebidae. The record is from RefSeq and is a predicted model, not a curated record.